RNAcentral lists this ribosomal RNA (371 nucleotides) under uncultured bacterium. RNAcentral's name for it is "bacterial SSU rRNA". It matches the Rfam family "Bacterial small subunit ribosomal RNA", at positions 527 to 898 of the family's 1533-position model. The record is from RNAcentral.
GAACCGUGCAAACGUUGUUCGGAAUCACUGGGCUUAAAGGGCGCGUAGGCGGGCAAGCAAGUCGAAGGUGAAAUCCCACGGCUCAACCGUGGAAGUGCCCCCGAUACUGCUUGUCUUGAGGGAGAUAGGGGCGUGCGGAACUUCCGGUGGAGCGGUGAAAUGCGUAGAUAUCGGAAGGAACACCGGUGGCGAAAGCGGCGCGCUGGAUCUCUUCUGACGCUGAGGCGCGAAAGCCAGGGGAGCAAACGGGAUUAGAUACCCCGGUAGUCCUGGCCCUAAACGUUGGGUACUAGGUAGUGGACUUACAUGGGUUCACUGCCGAAGCAAAAGUGAUAAGUACCCCGCCUGGGGAGUAUGGUCGCAAGGCUGAA